Long non-coding RNA from Hemibagrus wyckioides, 3276 nucleotides. RefSeq lists it as uncharacterized. The transcript is spliced from 3 exons. Lineage: Eukaryota; Metazoa; Chordata; Actinopteri; Siluriformes; Bagridae. The record is from RefSeq and is a predicted model, not a curated record.
UUUUAGCCAAUCGGUGGCGCUCGGUAGCAUAUAAAAAACGGAAGCAUGCGUGCCACCUUGGAUACGUCAUUUGUACUAGACGGUGCGUCGUUAACACGCUGUUGUCGAAGGAACCGUAUGUGGAUUCCGGUGUCGGGACUGUGAUUUCCGAGUGUGCUUUCACUUUCGAUUGCUAUUGCCGGCCUUAUCCUUCGUUUACGGGGUCGUUGUCAUUAUUGUACGAACCGGAUGUGGACAUCAGAGCAUGUAUGGGAUGUAUGUGGGUAAAUGCUUAACAGCUUGCAGCUAGCUGAGUCAUGUAUUUCCAAAGCACGGGCGUAUAUUAGAACCCUGUGGAUUUCCUUUUUUUAUGUUUUAGUCAUGAGAGAUGCAGCCACCGGGUUGGGAUUUUCCUGUUUUAAUCCCCUACGGAAAGCUUCCUUUUCAAGUAUUCGACUAUUGGUUUCCCAGGAAGGCCGUAAUUUUACUCUAGUCCACUCUGGUCGGCCGUGCGGUUCUGUUUCCAAUAUGGGGAUUCAGCUAACCGUUUAGUUUAUUUUUGUAUAUUUUUUUCUGUAUUUUUAAUUCUGUUUUGGGUUUGAUUGAACACUUGUUUUCAAACCAUUUUGUUUAUUUUUCUUUUGCAUUUUUUUUGUUCGGCUUGUUGUGGAUGAGGCCCUGCGAUGGACUGGCGACCUGUCCAGGGUGUACCCCUGCCUUUCGCUCUGUGUGCUGGGAUAGGCUCCAGCAGACCCCCGUGACCCUAGGAGUCCUAGGAAUAAGCGGGUAUAGACAAUGAAUGAAUGAAUGUAUGUUGUGGAUGAUUUGAGCGGGUUUAUAGAUGUUGUGUUGUAUUUGUUGUACAUUUGGUUAGCUGAGUCUGAUCGACCAAGCUAAAGGUUACUUCAUUGCUCUGUCCGUUGACGUGUAUCUUCUUUGUCUUAGCAGGGCCUGGGAACUUGGGGUAGAGGACUAGUCCAUCCUUGGUGGUGGUGUUUUUCUCACCGUGUGUUGUGAUUAUCUUCACGUGAUGUGGGGACAUUUAGGCUUUUGUUGUUGUUUAUGAUGCCGAUGAAACAAAAACGUUAAAGAGAAAAAUGACUGUGGAAGCACUGUUACACACGAGUUACCUACUCAAAUGGAAAUACUUCCAACAUGACUGCACAUCUACGGCGACUUUACUGUCAUCAUGGAUGAAAGGAAAGAAUGGAGAUGCGAGUUGGUUGAUUCAGUAAAUUAGGUCAGGCUUAUCAUAUUUCCAUGAACACUCUGUGUAGUAUGAAAACGAGUUGACUUUAAACUGCACAUUUUCUCUCAGCAAUGUAUGACAAGCAGACUCUGGAUACUAGUUUAAUUUUAGACUCGAUAUGAUCAUAACUCAAUCGUUUUCAUAUCCGAGGACAGAUGAGGUGAAUAGUUAGGGAAUGUAUCCAUGAAUGGAUAGAUGGAGGACAAUGUUUAUAUUUUUUUUUGUUUGUGCAAUUGUGUGCCAAUCUUGCAUCCUGUGUACCAAAUAAUUAGUGUAUCAAUGUUUGGAUUACAGAUGGUUACUUCCUACCCUGCUAUAAUACAGUGUUGGAGGCAUAAAAAUGAUCUAUUUUAGGUAUUUGUGAUGCGCAAAAAAUUAGCACCAGGACUGUAAAUAUUUUAAUUUGUUCGUUAACUAAGAGUGGUUGUUUGCAUGAGAGACAUUCAUUAAAGUAAUGAUCAACAUGUUCAUAUAAUUUAUAAAAAUUAUAAAAUUAUUUUUGCUAAAAUAGUGAUUCAACACACACAGUUCAUAAAAGCUUUUGGUGGAUGUCUCUGACACAGGUCACAUGUUUGUGAUACGUUAUGGCAGGGACUGUUCAAGUCUGAAGGAUUUUUGGAUUUUGAACUGAGUGCAUGAACAUUUUGUUCUGCUUGAUCAAAAACAGUCAGAAUCAAAUAUGUGACAUGUAUAUUAGCUAGCAUCAACUUAUCGGCCAUUUUCAAAUCUGAGAUAAAAUUAGUCUGAACCCUGUUGAUUUUCAGUGUGAGACAUUUUUACAGUUUUCUGAGAAUUUUAGUGGUUGAAGAUGAGACAUUUUAAUUUUAGAUGCUUAUGUACCAUCACCUGGGGCAUCUCAGAGAGCAGGAACAGGUUCGAACCAGUUACUUUGAAGAUGUGUGUGGAAAAAAAUAAACUUUUUUUUUUUUCUUUUUUACAAAUGUAUUGCUCGUAGUAAGCUAGGUAAAAGCAAAAUACAAAUUCUUAAAGCCCUGAGUGUCUACAUUCAAAUGAGUGUAGUGUGACAUGAGAAAGACGGCGACUGUUGAAAAUGUAAACAAGAAAAACAGGAAGAAAUUGAAUUUUUGGCCUCUGAUGAAAACAGAGAUAAAGAAUUCAUCUAUGCUGGUGGAAUCCGAUUAAAGCUGGGUAUGCUAUGCAGUGCAGUACUCUGAGGAAGGGUAGUGGACAAGUAGGUAGUGUUGAGAGUUGAACAUACGAUGCAUUGUUUCAAGGAGGUAGUAGUUUUUUCUUAUGGAUUUGUUUUAAUAGUGAAAUUCUUUUGUUUCUAGAAAUUGUUGCCUUAUUAUCACAAGCAAAAGUAAUGGAUAUCAGGUGUUGUCUUUUUUUACAGGCAAUGUUGAUGGUUAUUUUAAAUGUUUUUUAGUACAAUAUAUUAAGACUGUGUUUUGCCUUACAUGGAUUACUGUUUGUUGUUUAAUUUUCCUGGUACUUGUUUAAUCUUGUGUUUAGAAAUGUUUGGUGGCAGAGAAUUUAGACCACGAAAAACUGAGCUGAACAUAACUACAUAACAUGCUACAUAACACCGACUUGUUUCUUUUCCUUUACAUGACUUACUGUACAUUUGACUUUAUUCUUUGGUUUCUUUUAGGUUUUUUAAACCAGCAGUGGCCUCUGGGGUGUCCUCACUGUGUAGAUGGCGGUGGUGGUGGUUGGGAUCAUGCUGUGGUUUGGUCACUUUAUACUUUGGUUUCCUUUUCUGUAGGUUUGCAAUGUGAAUGCGGUGACGGAACUCUCCAUCUCCUUGUCCUCACAAUAUAGCUAACCGGUGGCCAUCUGCGGUUUUGUUUUUGUUAAUUUAUCAUUUAUUUUUAUUUUCAUAGACUGACAGCUUUUAAUUAAUUGUGACUUGGACUAUAGGUGGUCCUAUUUAGAACUUUAUACAUGUUGUGAUAAAUAUCAGUGGAUUUUAUCCCGUAUUUGGCACAUCCUCAGCUACAUAUGACAUUAUUCUGCUUUUUUUAUUCAAUUUAGAUUGAGUUAAGCGUUAAUGCUGUAACUUGAGAACUAAUAAUCUGCUGGGAUGG